AUACGUAGGUGGCAAGCGUUGUCCGGAAUUAUUGGGCGUAAAGCGCGCGCAGGCGGUCCUUUAAGUCUGAUGUGAAAGCCCACGGCUCAACCGUGGAGGGUCAUUGGAAACUGGGGGACUUGAGUGCAGAAGAGGAAAGUGGAAUUCCAAGUGUAGCGGUGAAAUGCGUAGAGAUUUGGAGGAACACCAGUGGCGAAGGCGACUUUCUGGUCUGUAACUGACGCUGAGGCGCGAAAGCGUGGGGAGCAAACAGAAUUAGAUACCCUGGUAGUCCACGCCGUAAACGAUGAGUGCUAAGUGUUAGGGGGUUUCCGCCCCUUAGUGCUGCAGCUAACGCAUUAAGCACUCCGCCUGGGGAGUACGGUCGCAAGACUGAAACUCAAAGGAAUUGACGGGG
RNAcentral lists this ribosomal RNA (397 nucleotides) under uncultured bacterium. RNAcentral describes it as "partial 16S ribosomal RNA". It matches the Rfam family "Bacterial small subunit ribosomal RNA", at positions 523 to 918 of the family's 1533-position model. The record is from RNAcentral.